Bombus terrestris (buff-tailed bumblebee) is the source of this 737-nucleotide long non-coding RNA. RefSeq lists it as uncharacterized. NCBI's taxonomy places the organism in Eukaryota, Metazoa, Arthropoda, Insecta, Hymenoptera, Apidae. The record is from RefSeq and is a predicted model, not a curated record. The transcript has 2 exons.
GGGGAGAGCGCGCGCAAGGCAGAGCGCAUCAGCGGACGUCUUAAUGUUACGCCAACUCUGAACCGCGCAACACCUAUCCCUACGUAGUCUUCGAUACAACGAAGUAUCUCUACGAAAUUUCUUGAAGUGUUUAACGAUUCGUAACGAGUAUUUUACAAUGUGCAUCAACCUUUGCAACAGGGAAGAAGUACAAGCAAAUUAUGGUCUUUUGAAUAUGAUAAUUCCAAGACAACUGACACGCCAAGUUGACCGACCUAGAUAUUAUUGUUUGAUACGAGUCGCACCUGCCUACCGCACCAACGACUAUUCACUUUGUGGAUUUUGUUACAGAAAUUUACUUAUGAUGAAAGCGGACGUAAGGAUGUACGAAGAAGCAAAUUAUCAUAGCAUUUGCGGAGUCUCAGGCCGCGCACGUGUCCUUCGUUGCGACUCAUGCGAAAAACGAAUAGGACGGCUAAUACCCGCAGACGAGUGUCGGCUGUGCGCCGAGCAGUUGCCUAUACUGACUACAAAUCAGAUAAAUUCGUUAGCUCAGGGGAAAUUAGUACGCAUUGAUUAUCAUCCGUGAUAACAAUUUUUUUGCCGUCACAUAACCGGAACUAUGUACGGAACUGUUGCGAUUCUUUCAACCGCACGCGGAUCAAAGGUUACAGCAGCGAAUGAUCGUUUAUAAUAUUUUCUUCUUAUUAUAUUAUUAAUAUUCUUGUUAUUAUAAAUAAACUAUAUUAUUAAUAUUC